Molecule: ribosomal RNA, 497 nt
Filed under: uncultured bacterium
Lineage: Bacteria
Description: partial 16S ribosomal RNA
Rfam family: Bacterial small subunit ribosomal RNA
Source: RNAcentral
GAUGAACGCUGGCGGCGUGCCUAAUACAUGCAAGUCGAGCGAACAGACGAGGAGCUUACUCCUCUGACGUUAGCGGCGGACGGGUGAGUAACACGUGGAUAACCUACCUAUAAGACUGGGAUAACUUCGGGAAACCGGAGCUAAUACCGGAUAACAUGUUGAACCGCAUGGUUCAACAGUGAAAGACGGUCUUGCUGUCACUUAUAGAUGGAUCCGCGUCGCAUUAGCUAGUUGGUAAGGUAACGGCUUACCAAGGCAACGAUGCGUAGCCGACCUGAGAGGGUGAUCGGCCACACUGGAACUGAGACACGGUCCAGACUCCUACGGGAGGCAGCAGUAGGGAAUCUUCCGCAAUGGGCGAAAGCCUGACGGAGCAACGCCGCGUGAGUGAAGAAGGUCUUCGGAUCGUAAAACUCUGUUAUUAGGGAAGAACAAAUGUGUAAGUAACUAUGCACGUCUUGACGGUACCUAACCAGAAAGCCACGGCUAACUACGUG